Molecule: long non-coding RNA, 294 nt
Filed under: Vigna radiata
Lineage: Eukaryota; Viridiplantae; Streptophyta; Magnoliopsida; Fabales; Fabaceae
Description: long non-coding RNA (VRAD_LNC008245)
Source: RNAcentral
UACAGAUUCCUUCAUGUUUUAGUAACUUCAUAUGCCUGUUUUUAACAUCUAGAGGCCGACACAAGAUUCAGAAAGCCAACCCAAUGAUAACAAUGCCAAAUAGAGAUUAAUGAUCCCUACAAAGAACCAUUUCAUCAGCUAUAAUAAACUAGGCCAAACACGCCUUGAUUCUCAGUAGACCAAGUGUAGCAACCCGAUGAGCUUAGACAAGUUUAUAUAGGUUUUGGUAGAAAGAAUGAUUAUCCAUAUAUAUUUAUAGCUUCCACUUCCCCCAUAUACAACAAGAAAAUGAUG